GCGAUGGCUGGGCGCAGCCUGAUCCAGCAAUGCCGCGUGAGUGAAGAAGGCCUUCGGGUUGUAAAGCUCUUUCAGUUGAGAAGAAAAAUACGCGAAUAAUACUCGCGUUUCAUGACGGUAUCAACAGAAGAAGCACCGGCUAACUACGUGCCAGCAGCCGCGGUAAUU
Molecule: ribosomal RNA, 168 nt
Filed under: uncultured Nitrosomonas sp.
Lineage: Bacteria; Pseudomonadati; Pseudomonadota; Betaproteobacteria; Nitrosomonadales; Nitrosomonadaceae
Description: partial 16S ribosomal RNA
Rfam family: Bacterial small subunit ribosomal RNA
Source: RNAcentral